Ciona savignyi (Pacific transparent sea squirt) is the source of this 90-nucleotide non-coding RNA. NCBI's taxonomy places the organism in Eukaryota, Metazoa, Chordata, Ascidiacea, Phlebobranchia, Cionidae. The record is from Rfam.
CCUUCGAUAGCUCAGUUGGUAGAGCGGUGGACUGUAGCGGUAAUACUGUCAGAAAUCCAUAGGUCACUGGUUCGAAUCCGGUUCGAAGGA